RNAcentral lists this ribosomal RNA (467 nucleotides) under Actinomyces sp. oral taxon 178. Its description in RNAcentral is "bacterial SSU rRNA". It matches the Rfam family "Bacterial small subunit ribosomal RNA", at positions 28 to 486 of the family's 1533-position model. The record is from RNAcentral. Lineage: Bacteria; Bacillati; Actinomycetota; Actinomycetes; Actinomycetales; Actinomycetaceae.
GACGAACGCUGGCGGCGUGCUUAACACAUGCAAGUCGAACGCGCCUGUCCUCUGGGUUUCUGGGGGGUGGGUGAGUGGCGAACGGGUGAGUAACACGUGAGUAACCUGCCCCCUUCUUCGGGAUAACGGUCUGAAAGGGCUGCUAAUACCGGGUAUUCACUGGUCUCCGCAUGGGGUCUGGUGGAAAGGGUUUUUUCUGGUGGGGGAUGGGCUCGCGGCCUAUCAGCUUGUUGGUGGGGUGAUGGCCCACCAAGGCUUUGACGGGUAGCCGGCCUGAGAGGGUGACCGGUCACAUUGGGACUGAGAUACGGCCCAGACUCCUACGGGAGGCAGCAGUGGGGAAUAUUGCACAAUGGGCGAAAGCCUGAUGCAGCGACGCCGCGUGAGGGAUGGAGGCCUCCGGGUUGUGAACCUCUUUCGCCCGUGGUCAAGCCGCGACGUGGGUCGUGGUGAGGGUAGUGGGAAAG